Non-coding RNA from Misgurnus anguillicaudatus (oriental weatherfish), 727 nucleotides. The record is from RefSeq and is a predicted model, not a curated record. Lineage: Eukaryota; Metazoa; Chordata; Actinopteri; Cypriniformes; Cobitidae.
CUGUUAAAAACAUUUUGAAAAUUGAAGUUUUGUGUGUUCUUAUUGUAAUUUAUUUAUUUUAUAACAGGUAAGCUUUAUACUGAAAGCUUCAUUCCCUUUAAAGCAGAGUUUUUAUAUUUGAGGUAAUCUUGCUGGGAGUGAAGGCAGUGCGUAUGAUCGCUUGAUAUGAGACACACAUACUAUUUUUAAAGGUGAUGUAUGCAUGUUACUUUCAAUCCAGGCAUUAAAAUAAUAGUUAUUUACUGUUAAAAACAUUUUGAAAAUUGAAGUUUUGUGUGUUCUUAUUGUACUUUAUAUCGUUUAUAACAGGUCAACUUUAUACGUAAAAUUCAUUCCAUUUAUAACAGAGUUUUCAUAUGUGAGGUAAUCAUCUUGCUGGGAGUGAAGGCAGUGUGUUCUGUCCAAUAGUGACCCAGCCCUGGGUUAAAAGCAACCCAGCAUUUUUUAGAGUGUACGAGAGACACAUUCUAUUUUUAAAGGUGAUGUAUGCAUGUUACUUUCAAUCCUGGCAUUAAAAUAAUAAUAUUUACUGUUUAAACAUUUAGUAAAUUGAGGUUUUGUGUGUUUUUGAUGUACUUUAUUUCUUUUAUAACAGGUCAACAUACUGUAAGCUUCAUUCCCUUUAAAGCAGGUAAUCUUCAUAUUGUUUUAAAUGAUAUAUUUAGAGGACUCUGCUUUAACAAUGACUUAGGAUAAUGAUUUGUUAUAGUGUUUGUUAUCAAGCAUA